GAUGAACGCUGGCGGCGUGCCUAAUACAUGCAAGUCGAGCGAACAGAUAAGGAGCUUGCUCCUUUGAAGUUAGCGGCGGACGGGUGAGUAGCACGUGGGUAACCUACCUAUAAGACUGGGAUAACUUCGGGAAACCGGAGCUAAUACCGGAUAACAUUUAGAACCGCAUGGCUCUAAAGUGAAAGAUGGUUUUGCUAUCACUUAUAGAUGGACCCGCGCCGUAUUAGCUAGUUGGUAAGGUAACGGCUUACCAAGGCGACGAUACGUAGCCGACCUGAGAGGGUGAUCGGCCACACUGGAACUGAGACACGGUCCAGACUCCUACGGGAGGCAGCAGUAGGGAAUCCUCCGCAAUGGGCGAAAGCCUGACGGAGCAACGCCGCGUGAGUGAUGAAGGGUUUCGGCUCGUAAAACUCUGUUAUUAGGGAAGAACAAAUGUGUAAGUAACUGUGCACAUCUUGACGGUACCUAAUCAGAAAGCCACGGCUAACUACGUGCCAGCAGCCGCGGUAAUACGUAGGUGGCAAGCGUUAUCCGGAAUUAUUGGGCGUAAAGCGCGCGUAGGCGGUUUCUUAAGUCUGAUGUGAAAGCCCACGGCUCAACCGUGGAGGGUCAUUGGAAACUGGGAAACUUGAGUGCAGAAGAGGAAAGUGGAAUUCCAUGUGUAGCGGUGAAAUGCGCAGAGAUAUGGAGGAACACCAGUGGCGAAGGCGACUUUCUGGUCUGUAACUGACGCUGAUGUGCGAAAGCGUGGGGAUCAAACAGGAUUAGAUACCCUGGUAGUCCACGCCGUAAACGAUGAGUGCUAAGUGUUAGGGGGUUUCCGCCCCUUAGUGCUGCAGCUAACGCAUUAAGCACUCCGCCUGGGGAGUACGACCGCAAGGUUGAAACUCAAAGGAAUUGACGGGGACCCGCACAAGCGGUGGAGCAUGUGGUUUAAUUCGAAGCAACGCGAAGAACCUUACCAAAUCUUGACAUCCUUUGAAAACUCUAGAGAUAGAGCCUUCCCCUUCGGGGGACAAAGUGACAGGUGGUGCAUGGUUGUCGUCAGCUCGUGUCGUGAGAUGUUGGGUUAAGUCCCGCAACGAGCGCAACCCUUAAGCUUAGUUGCCAUCAUUAAGUUGGGCACUCUAGGUUGACUGCCGGUGACAAACCGGAGGAAGGUGGGGAUGACGUCAAAUCAUCAUGCCCCUUAUGAUUUGGGCUACACACGUGCUACAAUGGACAAUACAAAGGGCAGCUAAACCGCGAGGUCAUGCAAAUCCCAUAAAGUUGUUCUCAGUUCGGAUUGUAGUCUGCAACUCGACUACAUGAAGCUGGAAUCGCUAGUAAUCGUAGAUCAGCAUGCUACGGUGAAUACGUUCCCGGGUCU
This 1372-nucleotide ribosomal RNA is filed under the name uncultured bacterium. RNAcentral's name for it is "bacterial SSU rRNA". It matches the Rfam family "Bacterial small subunit ribosomal RNA", at positions 28 to 1381 of the family's 1533-position model. The record is from RNAcentral.